RNAcentral lists this ribosomal RNA (550 nucleotides) under fungal sp. RNAcentral's name for it is "eukaryotic LSU rRNA". The stretch from base 198 to 351 matches the Rfam family "5.8S ribosomal RNA". Lineage: Eukaryota; Fungi. The record is from RNAcentral.
UGGUUGGCGGGGGGUAGUCGUUCGCGUACAUAGGGGCACCCUCGCGUGAUGUCAGCAAUACCUAGGUAACCCUUGAAUAAACUACCCUUGUUGCUUUGGCGGGCCGCCGUCUCGGCCAGCGGCUUCGGCUGCUGCGCGCUCGCCAGAGGACCACAACUCUUGUUUUUAGUGAUGUCUGAGUACUAUAUAAUAGUUAAAACUUUCAACAACGGAUCUCUUGGUUCUGGCAUCGAUGAAGAACGCAGCGAAAUGCGAUAAGUAAUGUGAAUUGCAGAAUUCAGUGAAUCAUCGAAUCUUUGAACGCACAUUGCGCCCUUUGGUAUUCCGAAGGGCAUGCCUGUUCGAGCGUCAUUAUAACCACUCAAGCUCUCGCUUGGUAUUGGGGUGCGCGGUUCCGCGGCCUCUAAAGUUAGUGGCGGUGCCUGUCGGCUCUACGCGUAGUAAUACUCCUCGCGUCUGGGUCCGGUAGGUUGCUUGCCAACAACCCCCAAAUUUUUUACAGGUUGACCUCGGAUCAGGUAGGGAUACCCGCUGAACUUAAGCAUAUCAA